GGGCCCAUAGCUCAGCCGGUAGAGCAACUGACUUUUAAUCAGUAGGUCCCGCGUUCGAACCGCGGUGGGCUCACCA
This 76-nucleotide transfer RNA is filed under the name Parvibaculaceae bacterium. RNAcentral's name for it is "tRNA-Lys". It matches the Rfam family "tRNA". From Rfam's summary of the family: Transfer RNA (tRNA) molecules are approximately 80 nucleotides in length. Their secondary structure includes four short double-helical elements and three loops (D, anti-codon, and T loops). Further hydrogen bonds mediate the characteristic L-shaped molecular structure. tRNAs have two regions of fundamental functional importance: the anti-codon, which is responsible for specific mRNA codon recognition, and the 3' end, to which the tRNAs corresponding amino acid is attached (by aminoacyl-tRNA synthetases). tRNAs cope with the degeneracy of the genetic code in two manners: having more than one tRNA (with a specific anti-codon) for a particular amino acid; and 'wobble' base-pairing, i.e. permitting non-standard base-pairing at the 3rd anti-codon position. Lineage: Bacteria; Pseudomonadati; Pseudomonadota; Alphaproteobacteria; Hyphomicrobiales; Parvibaculaceae. The record is from RNAcentral.